UCAGGAUGAACGCUAGCUACAGGCUUAACACAUGCAAGGUCGAGGGGAAACGAUAGAGAAAGCUUGCUUUUUCUAGGCGUCGACCGGCGCACGGGUGAGUAACGCGUAUCCAACCUGCCCAUCACUUGGGGAUAACCUUGCGAAAGUAAGACUAAUACCCAAUGACGUCUCUAGAAGACAUCUGAAAGAGAUUAAAGAUUUAUCGGUGAUGGAUGGGGAUGCGUCUGAUUAGCUUGUUGGCGGGGUAACGGCCCACCAAGGCGACGAUCAGUAGGGGUUCUGAGAGGAAGGCCCCCCACAUUGGAACUGAGACACGGUCCAAACUCCUACGGGAGGCAGCAGUGAGGAAUAUUGGUCAAUGGACGAGAGUCUGAACCAGCCAAGUAGCGUGCAGGAUGACGGCCCUAUGGGUUGUAAACUGCUUUUAUAAGGGAAUAAAGUGAGUCUCGUGAGACUUUUUGCAUGUACCUUAUGAAUAAGGACCGGCUAAUUCCGUG
This 497-nucleotide ribosomal RNA is filed under the name uncultured bacterium. RNAcentral describes it as "bacterial SSU rRNA". It matches the Rfam family "Bacterial small subunit ribosomal RNA", at positions 24 to 507 of the family's 1533-position model. The record is from RNAcentral.